ACGCAUGAGUGUUUUUUAUUAUCUCGUUCUUUCUUACCCAAUAACUGAAUUUAUUUGAAUAUAAAAGGAUGCGUGUGGAAGCUCUAUGGGCUGUUUGUACAAUUACAAGAUUCAUUUCCAUUAUUUAAUCUUAAUCCCCCUUCCCCACAAAAAAAGUCAAAACAGCCAGUACAUGGCUGCUUGUUUAUCGAAAAGUUUACUUUAACUGAACUUACAUAUGCUGUUUUUGUUACAUAUGUCCCUUUUCCCACUUUAUUUGUAUGCCUACGGCUUACGUGUAUGAUUUCUGUGAACAGGUUCUCAUUCCCAUGACCUGUUAUGAGUUCAUGCCAUGGAUACGCUGAUGGUGAGGACCUCUACUAGGUGACAUGAGUCUCCGGACCACCGGUCCCGGUUCUGGAUGCAAAGUGAGGACCUCUGUGCGGAGAGGUGAGCGAGGGAGACGGGCGGCAUUCGGGCGACGGAGACGACGGGGACGGGGACAGCGGCAGCAGCAGCAGCUGCCGCGAUUUUCUCGCGCCGUGAUUAAAUACUUCUUGUGUCUUCUCCGCCGCUAUAAUCCGUGUAGCACAGAAAAGGGGGGCUGCGGGAGGAUAAUCGUGAAUGGACCCCUGAAUCAUUCCAGCUGGCUGCAUCUCAAACAGCGCCGUGGAGAGAAUGGGAUUGGGCUCCCUUGUUCUGUCACAAGAGCGGCAGCAUUUUAAGGAGUUUCUCCCAGAAAUCGUUCCGGAACGCGCGGCGUCUCCCUUUCUCUUCACCCCGACGGCAGGCACAUUUCGGCUGGAGAAGGUAAGUGAACGCGCCGACUCCCCCAGCCCAUGUUUGGGGUGGGAGCUGAGCGAACGAAAUACCGGUAGCGUAGGCUAUACUGAUUAUAAGUUUGCGAGCAUCCGUCUAAUGCGCGUGUAGUUUUCACUUGCUUCUUAGGUGCAUCUCCGAACACCCAUCCUUGGCUUUUGUUAUCGUACGACUCUGAAAACAGACAGGGUCCUCCUUAGGUCCUGCGCAUGCGAUGGUUAUUUCGGGGGCAAUGUUCACCGCCAGAUAGAUUGGGAAUUAGUUUUAUUUUGAUCGUAAUCGCAUCCUAUCAUGUGUUUUUUUUUUACGACAGAGAGACAAUAGAUAUUCGCAGCGUGUAGCCUACAUGCGCGGGUCCAACCCGAUAGCCUUUUAAAACAAUAUUUUUUUAAAGGCAAAUUAACUACGUACAAUUACAGUAAUACUAUGCGCACAAAUACACAAUAGGGACAGAGUGCAAAGGAUGCAAUUAGGAAAGUGAUUCUGAGAUGGAAAUACGCGGGCAUGCGUUUCAGUUCUGAUUUAUUAUUGCAUAGAGCACGUGAAAGGGUAACGGGGGUUAACUACAUCAAAGGCUAUGUUGCAGAACUGCCCGAGGAACAUUAGUAAACCACACAGGUCGUCGUCUCUUAUGGGAAAACUUUAAAUUCUCACUUACGGCGCACGUACGCUCUUCGUUAAAACACAAAAACACACGGUUUAUACAACGUGCAUUUGAGUGAGAAAUGUAAAUGAAUAGCAUUCAGAUAACUGCGUGCCGUUUUGAAACAUUUUUGUGCAAAGGUUUCUAAACGCAUGCAUUGUUUUUUUUCAUUAUAUUUAUCAGUACGAACUUUUUAAACAUAUAAUUUUUUACCUACACGAUGAAACAGGCUACAUUUGGACACUUGCAUCAAGUUACGUUGAAGUUGUUUCCUAUUGACAUGUUGGCAAUAGCUGCCCCCUAGCGGUGGAAGUUCACUUCAUGGAAAAUAGAAGCUUUUCUGGCCGAUGCGCGCUCGACGCACGCGCCGUAGAGGCUCCCGUGCCCGAAGGCAUCACUCAUCCGCGGAGAUAAGUAGUAGCGCGUGUUUCCAAGUUAACAUGACAGUGCGGAAAUGUGGAGCCGCAUAAAAAAAAGCAUCUGGCACAGUCCUGAGACUUUAUUCCAUAAAUCAGAUGCGACCACGGUGUGCGAAACCGUUGACAUUCGGCCCCAGAUCUCCUUCUUUGCUGGAAGGGGGGGGGAUGAUUAAAAAAAAAGAACAGAAAUGGGGUACUUUUUGUGGGCCUAUAUAUAUCUUGUUUCCCGUGGGCGUGAAGCAGCUAUUGGGCUUGAUUUGUCUGCGCCGGUGAAGGAGGCACAGGUGUUCGACAGGAAAACAAAACACGGACUCUCUUUUCUGCUGCACUAAAUUGCUCUGAGACCUUGCUGUGGGUGAGAGGGCCGUCUUUCUUCUAGCAUGCAUACAUUCAGACGCUAAUCCCCCCUUCCUUUUUUCCUCGCUGUAUUACAUAAUUCAUUUUGAUCCUCGCGGUUUCUGAGCCUCCUUGCCUCUUUUCCUCGGGAUUCAAUCAGAGAAUGGGAUUAUCUUGAGCCGGAAUCUCAUGAAAAUUUUAUUGAAUUAAUUGCCUCAAUUGUCUUAGUGCGGCUGUGUAAAAAGCAGGGAAUUGAAAUAGUCAUUUAAAGUUGAUGUUGGAUUGGUUAGUUUUUGCCACUGCUUAACCGAAAUUAUAGUUUGGAAUGAAGUCGCAUUUGUCCGUCUUUGUUAUUUUCUUUUAUCGGGAUAAUUACUUGCUGCAUACUGAAGUGAGCUGGCGGUGGUACAGCAAUAAUAUCUUCUUAAGACUGAUUCUGAAUUAAGCCCCCUUUGUUAAAAGGGUUUGUGGCGGCAUUUCAAUGAAUGCAUUUUUUCCUGUAGACAUAUACUCACCAAAUAAACACGCCGUUUGUUAUCGCUGCCAAUUCAGCCGGCUUAUUAUAGAAGAUGAGCAAAUAGAACCUCUGGUUACAGUUUUUUUUUUUUUUUUUUUUUUUUUGUUCUCCCACAAUCCCCGUGUGAAGUCAGCGGCAGCCAAUCGCGGCCCCUGUUUGCCGAAUCCUCUGCCACCCUGGGGAACCCGCGGCCACAGCUGGCAAAGUGACAGUGUGCUGAUUGAAAACAACCUGGAGGCUUCAAGUGCUCC
Anguilla anguilla (European eel) is the source of this 2964-nucleotide long non-coding RNA. RefSeq lists it as uncharacterized. The transcript has 3 exons. Lineage: Eukaryota; Metazoa; Chordata; Actinopteri; Anguilliformes; Anguillidae. The record is from RefSeq and is a predicted model, not a curated record.